CUCACCAUGAAAGUUCUGGGGUCGAACAGUGCGGUGCAGAAGAUAGGUCGGCGUCUCAACACCUUCGCAGGGCUAUUAAACCGGCAAAAUUGUGAGCAAUGAUCAAGGUAUUUGGCUUUACUCGCACUGUUUUUUUUUUUUUUUUUUUUUUUUUAUCUUUUCUUUACUACUCACUUCAUCAUAAUUAACGAAAGAAUUUAAAAUUUAAAAAUAAAAUAAAAUGAGAAUUUGUCAAUAAAAUAUUUGAUUGCUGUUUUUUUAUUUAUCACAUUUAUAUUAAAAAAUGAAGAAUAAUUUUUUUUUUUUCCGGAGAAAUUAAAAAAGAAUAAUAGUUGAAAAGGUCAAUGUUAAUAAAAAUAAUAUGAUUAAUUUCACUCCCAUCCCUUCAGAUUUGGCCAAAUAUCACACUCAAAUAUUUUUUGAAAAUUACUAUCACUUGCACUAGUCUUUCGCUCACACUCCAACGGUUAUAUUAACACUAUGUAAUAUGACUUAAAUACCAUUUGAUUUGGUAAAAAAUACUUUCUAACUAAAAGAAUUAAAUAAAAAGACUAUAAUAUCUCUGAAUACACUACAAAUUUAUAUAUAUACCCUGUCGCCUCUCCUCCCUCCCUCGCCACCACGGCCACAUCUGAAUCUCCAGUUGUGCCAAUCAAAGUAUUACUAGAGGACUGGAAGGAAGAAAAAGAGAGGUUAUUAACCUCGCAGCAGAUGUAGGAUAGGAAGAUUGUUGCCGGCGGUGACUUGCAGCAGCUACGGUUGCGAGCACAAAUUAUUUGAAAAUUUGUUUGGCCUCAGAACCUAGAAAACUUCCAUCACGGUGUAGCCAAUUUAGAGCUUGUCAAAACUAUAUGCAAGUCUUGUAAAUCACAGGGCUUUUAAUUUUUUUAAUUUAUUUAUAUUAGUUGACAUGGUUUCUUCUUCUCAUGUCCAAUCUGUUACUUGGCUUUCAAUGUCUUUGUUCUCUUCAAUUUCAUAAUAUAUAUAUAUAUAUAUAUGGAACAACGGUUACCAACCAAAAGUCGCCUGAAUUAUUGACUGUCUUUUUUAACCCAGAGGAAUUCAUAGCUUCAAGGCUCUGCUUUUUUUGUUGCUCCAAAGUCUGAAUCUUAUUUUUAGACUCCGCAAUAGGUGUCUUUCCUGCCUUUGCUACCUCCAAAUUCAAUAGCUCAAUCUUGUUCUUCAAAUCUGACGAAUUUAUAACAUCUUCGAUUCCCUUGAUAAUUUCUCCAUUAAAUUCCUCGAUCUUAAUUUUGAAAUCUGAGAAUGCAUUCAAUUUCCGGCGACUUUUGGUUGAUAGUGGGUAGGUAGGAAUUUAAUUAGGGGUAUAAUAGUCAUUUAGGUAAUAUGAUAUUUUGGAAUAAAUGUGAUUAAAAAAUUAGGGGCAAAGAUGUCUUUUCUCAUGUUUUUAACGGAGACCGUGACAGAAAAGUGAAAAUAAACUUAAGUGAUAGUUAUUUUUUAAAAAUGUUUGAAGUUAAUAUUUGAUCAAACUUAAGGGUAUCAAUGAAAUCAACCCAAAAUAAUAAGAGCUAAUUCUAUCCAUUGAUUUUGUACCAUAGCAAGGCCAAUAAUUCUAUUGAGAGAGAAUGCAUUCAAUUUCCGGCUACUUUUGGUUGAUAGUGGGUAGGUAGGAAUUUAAUUAAGGGUGUAAUAGUUAUUUAAAUAAUUUGAUAUUUUGAAAUAAAUGUGAUUAAAAAAUUAAGAAUAAAUAUAUAUAUAUAUUUUUUUUAACAGAGACCUUGAUGAAAAAGGAAAAAUAAAUUUUAGUUAUUUUUAAAAAAUAUUUGAGAUUAGUAUUUGGUCAAAUUUAAAAAGAUGUCAGUAAAAUUAACCAAAAUAAUAAUAGCUCAUUCUAUCCAUUGAUUUUGUAACAUCGCAAGCCCAAGAAUUCUAUUGAGUGCUACUUGUUAAUGUGAGUGUUGACAAAAUGAAUUGAAGGGGACCCACACCCACGGCUGACAAUUCACUAUUGUUGGUGAAGAUGGUUACUGGCAAGGCGAAUGACUCUAUUGAGUGCUACAUCCUAAACAUUGCUAUCUUUUGGUAAUUCAAGCGAAUUUUAUAAAAUAUUUGCUUUGAAUUUUCAAAGAUAAAAGAUGCUUCAAAGUCUGUCUAUGGACAACUUGAUUGAAAAGAUGGGAGCAAAUUGAGGGAAGAAGCCAAACAAGUACUGUAGAAUGAAGUCGGCAGUGUGAGAUUAUUCAACAUUUUUGCCAGUAACGUGAAUGACAUUUUUGCCAUAUAGAAAACAAGGAAUGACAUUAACCAAAUUACAAGGUCUAAAAAUGUUGUUGCAUCAAGGUCCCACUUCUAAGUCAACGUCUGAUUUCAGUUGGGUGGUGUGGCCUAUAUGGCUCUCGCAGGUGGUUGAGAAGGAUAUCAUCUCUCUUCCUGGUUGAGACUGUUGUUUUUGUUUUGUGGUUUUGUCUCUCUGGUUGCUUUUGGAUAAAAAAAAUUAAAAACAAAAAAAAAAUUUGUAAUUAUAUUGAGGAUGGUCUAGGGGAGGGGAAUUUUUGCAAUUGAAAAUUCUAGGGGAAAAUUAGGCAUAGAGUUGAAAAUUCUAGGGAAAAAAGUUUCAAGGAUCUACCAUCCCCAAUUUGAAACAAAACGUUUUGGGCCAUGAAGUCUCAAACUUCCAUAAGGUGUUUCCAGAACAUAGAUUGCUUCUGUUCAACCACAUAGACCCAUAUAGAAGAAAAUUGAGCUAACACAGGUUUAAGCCAAGACAUCCACAGUGCCUGUUUUUUCCUUGAAUGAAGUCCUAAAACAAUCAAAAUUUUGCAGCAUUAUCAUUUUCAGAAACCUUCAUUAAUUUAUCCAAAAGCCCCCUCUGCAUUAGGGUAUGAUGAUGUUGUGAGUUGCACAAUGUGAAAGGGUUAUGGAAUACCAAAAGGCUAGUGCCUAACGGUACCAAGCCCCUACUUCUCAAAGAGAGGUUAGGGGUUUGAGCUUUGGUGUAGGCAUAUAUGUGUAAGUACCAAUUAGGAAAAAAAAAAAAAAAAAAAAGAUUG
Molecule: long non-coding RNA, 3014 nt
Organism: Cornus florida
Lineage: Eukaryota; Viridiplantae; Streptophyta; Magnoliopsida; Cornales; Cornaceae
Exons: 2
Source: RefSeq, a predicted model, not a curated record